Molecule: ribosomal RNA, 230 nt
Filed under: uncultured bacterium
Lineage: Bacteria
Description: partial 16S ribosomal RNA
Rfam family: Bacterial small subunit ribosomal RNA
Source: RNAcentral
AAGGGAGCGUAGGCGGCUGAUUAAGUCAGCGGUGAAAGGUAGCAGCUUAACUGUUUUACAUGCCGUUGAUACUGGUUAGCUUGAGUUGACAGAAGGCAGAUAGAAUUCCUGAUGUAGCGGUGAAAUGCUUAGAUAUCAGGAGGAAUACCGAUUGCGAAGGAAGUCUGCUGCAGUCACACUGACGCUGAGGCUCGAAGGUGCGGGGAUCAAACAGGAUUAGAUACCCUUGU